UACGGAGGAUCCGAGCGUUAUCCGGAUUUAUUGGGUUUAAAGGGUGCGUAGGCGGAAAUGUAAGUCAGUGGUGAAAUCCUGCAGCUUAACUGUAGAAUAGCCGUUGAAACUGUGUUUCUUGAGUACAUUUGAGGUAGGCGGAAUGUGGUGUGUAGCGGUGAAAUGCAUAGAUAUACCACAGAACACCGAUUGCGAAGGCAGCUUACUAAACUGUCACUGACGCUGAUGCACGAAAGCGUGGGUACCAAACAGGAUUAGAUA
RNAcentral lists this ribosomal RNA (261 nucleotides) under uncultured prokaryote. RNAcentral's name for it is "partial 16S ribosomal RNA". It matches the Rfam family "Bacterial small subunit ribosomal RNA", at positions 524 to 784 of the family's 1533-position model. The record is from RNAcentral.